UGUACUUUCACUUUCACUUGCUCGUUGUUCAGGCGAUUUAUGAGAAAUUGUCUGAUCUCAGAUCGUUCGUCUAACCGGAUAAACGAGCCAGUAGUAAACGAGAUGAAGACUUGAGUGUUUUAAUAUUUUGGAACAUAUUAUAGUUCAUUUUAACCGCUAUAGUGAAAGUAUCUAUUUUUUUAUUUAUUUUCCUAUCGUAUCCUGCAGUCGGGCAUUUCGACAGCUGAGGUUUUUUCAGCAGGAUGUUUACUCGCAAAUAGACUUUUUUUUGUUUGCUGCUCACUCAUAAAAAAGUUCUGUUGAACAGAAAUGCUCUUAACUACCAUUUAAACGCAGAUCGGUGCUGCUUUUAGCCGAAGAAAACUCAAUUUAGGAUGAUUUCCCUUAUAAGUUCUGCGAUGGAGUUCACAGACGAGGAGAAAAUAUGGCUGCAAAGACUAUCUGCUGAAAUACCUGAAGGAAAUGAACUCACUCCAAAGGAGAAGCAAUUACGGGAGAAAGCAAAGCCAGAGACUGAAUUUCAGGCCCAGCUCUUCCAAGCUAUGGCCUCCAUAAGAUUUGCACUGAAUGAUUCAAUAACCUCAACAAUAGAGGUGAAAAACUCUGUCCAUCAGAGAAGCAAUGUCUCGUCACUAUGUGGAUAGUCAUCAAAUGCCAAGAUGAUGACAUGUUUAUAUUUUUCAUGAUCUCACCUGGGUAUUGUUAUCUUAUUAAUGAUUUAUUAGUGGAUGUCAGGUUUAGAUUAUACUUGCUAUACACCAGGGAAUGUGACGGCAUUAUGUUUUUUUGACCUCAGCUCAUGAAAUGAUUCAUCAGUUAAGCACAAAUGGAUGCUUCAUUGCUGUGCAAAGUUGAGAAACUUUGAGAAUAUAAUGCUAUUGCUGUUUGCAUGCUCUUUUAUAGUUGUAUGAUCUAUGAAAUCACUGCAAAAUGAAACCAGGUUGUUUUUGUUUUUAAAACGUCAUUGGUGCUUUUUUCCACAUACAUGCUAAUGCUUUUGAAAUGAUGCCAAGUGAAGGUUCUUCAGAAACUCAGUAUGCAUGUCUUUUAUCAUGCUCACAGGGAUGAUAACAUCUCUACCUCAUUCAAAAUACAAUAAAAAACAGUACAAUGCAUUUUUUUCUUUUGUACACAUGUAUAAGAAAUUGGACCAUGAUAUUUGGACAAAAGUAGAUUUGAACUUUCAGAUGUUUGUUUCAACACCGUUUACUUUGAUUACCAUCCAUGGUCCAAAACAAAUGUUAUUUCCAAAAAUGUAUGUACAUUCCACUCUGUUUCCACAUUUAGCCUAACAUAAAAAAAAAAAAAAAAUUGACUGUACUUGUAAUGAAUAAAAAUUCAAACGAA
Molecule: long non-coding RNA, 1347 nt
Organism: Carassius carassius (crucian carp)
Lineage: Eukaryota; Metazoa; Chordata; Actinopteri; Cypriniformes; Cyprinidae
Exons: 3
Source: RefSeq, a predicted model, not a curated record